This 65-nucleotide transfer RNA is filed under the name Aquiloeurycea galeanae (Galaena false brook salamander). RNAcentral's name for it is "tRNA-Ile". The record is from RNAcentral. Lineage: Eukaryota; Metazoa; Chordata; Amphibia; Caudata; Plethodontidae.
GAUAUGUGCCUGAAAGAUAAGGCCUACCUUGAUAGGGUAAUAAAUAGAGGUUCAAACCCUCUCAU